Phoenix dactylifera (date palm) is the source of this 3926-nucleotide non-coding RNA. NCBI's taxonomy places the organism in Eukaryota, Viridiplantae, Streptophyta, Magnoliopsida, Arecales, Arecaceae. The record is from RefSeq and is a predicted model, not a curated record.
UUUAAUUCUAAUAAGUAAAUUAUUUUUGAAGUUGUGGUGGACUCUUCACAUCUUUUUCUCUUUUUACUGCCCCUCUAUAUCAAAUCUCUGCCCCUAGUUGAAUUAUUCAUGGAUGCCGAACUUGACUGGUUUAAUAUGACAUUUAUCAUCAUGUUGCUACUCAUUAGGAGGCUUUGGUGAUUUGUGGGACGAACUAGAACUGCUGCAACAUGGAAAGAACAAUGCUUUAUUCAACUAUUUUUAAUGGCAUGGCAUGUUUUGAUAGUCUGCUGUUUCACAGGUAACCAAUUGCAGCUGUUUGAUUCAUAGCAGCUAGUCUGAGACUCUCAUAAUUCCUGAUUUUUUUUUUCUUUCUUUCUUCCCUCUCCCUUGUUCAUUCCAAAGGGGAAAGCGGCAUCACUCCUAGAUUUAUAUGAUCAGGCUGUGAUGAUUCAUGAGACAAGGGUUAUCUACAUUUUAAAACACAAAAACAGCUAUUUUAAAUGGUAAGGAAACCUUGGAUGAUCAGUUCUAUUCAUCAUGCAAGUGUUUUCAGCCAUUUUAUUUAGUUUACGGGGAACCAAACAUAUACAUAAUGCUGGUCAAAAUUGUGAAUGUGAACCUCUUCUCUUCCGGUACUUCCUUUCCUCACUUUUGUUGCAGGAUUUUCGUUUUCUGGGUAUUCUAAACAUGUUUUCUAUGUUUCUAUUCUCAUGAUUUGUUCUAGAGGUUCCUCAAGACUUUAUAGCCUAUGGACAUGGAUGAAGAAUCUGGAUUUUGGGAGCCCAUAUUCUCAAAUUUCCCAUUUUAGUUGGCAAAAGUUUAGGGACUGGUUACUCGUGAUUAGAGUCUAUGUAAUAUUUUAGCACUUUAGAAAUUUUGUUUUGAUAUUUCUUGUUGUGUUUCCUUGACUCAUCCUUUCGGUAGAAUUAUUUUUCUUUGCACAUCACAACGGUUUUGGUCUUUUCUACAUUCCUUCCCUCCAUUUCUCAUUUUUCCCAUGGCAGAAGAUAAUUUGAGAGAAUCUCCAAUGCUAUCCCUGACACCUCCAAUGAACAUUCCAUUUGCAAGAGCUCUACAAAGUAUCAAUGAGGUGACAUAUUCUGCUUUCCUUAUUUUUAAUUUAAAUUACUUAGUGGCUGGUGGCUUUAGGAGAUUCUUCAAGUUGUUUUUUGUUAUUGUUCUCUUUUUAAUCAUCUUCUAUGUAGCCUCUGCAGGAGCUCACUGAGAGUUCUUCAAUGGUGCUAGUGUUAAAAGUUUUUGUUGAUCAUUGAUGAUGCUCCUAACCUAUUCAGUAUUGCUGUUUAAUUCCUUGGCUCCUUACCUACGUCUAGUACAACCAUCCAUGAAUAAAUCAAUAAAAAUGUAAAACUGUAUUCUUUAUAAUUGGAACAAUCUUUUUUUCUGGAGGCAACUAUUGCAGCCUAUUGGAGACCCUAUGUGAUAUCUAUUAAAUGGGCAAUUUAAGCCUCCAUCCUACUCCUUUAACUCAAGACACCUUUUCUUUUCGAACAUUCAUAUUCUUUUCUUUGUAUUCCUAAUAUUAUACUUCAUUUUUAGCUUGACAACUUAUGAAUUUAUAUAUAUCAAGGCCAUUUCCUCCUUCUGGAUUCUUCUUUCCAUUGGUGGUCAUAGUGAUGGUAGUGGUUUGAAGGGUUGCCCUCUCUCCUCUUGAACUGAUGAUUCACCAAUAACUACAUGAGACUUUUUCUUGGCAGAAGUGGUAUCUGUUUCCUUUUUCUCUUUUAUCAUUUCUAAAUUUUAAAAGCAGAGGUGAUUUCUCUUGGAUGGAUGAGGCUUGUUGGUUAUUCUUUGUGAUGGUCAAAUAAAUGACAGUAAUUUUUCCCCCAUCUAUGUGAGGCAAUAUUAUGGUUUUAUAAGAGUGAUUUGCAUGGUUUUACUACUUGCAUUUGAUACUUUUAUUAUACAUUAUCUAAUUUAUCUUUUGGAAUAAUGCUCCAUCCCCCAGCCACCUCAUCAAAAUAAAGAAAAAACACUUAAGCAACAAUAUUCUUUCGUAAUUUAUCCAGUUGAUAUACUGGUUACUGUUUUGAAUAUAUUUUAGAAAGCUUGGGAUUCCCAUUAUGAAAAAGUUUUUGUUUAAUACAUAACUAUAUAAAUGGAUGCAUGCAUUUUACAUUGUAUAUGUAACUAUCCAUGCAUAUACACAUGAAAGAAACAUUUCAUUUACAUGCAUAUAUGCAUGCAGCCAUCCAAAAAUUUAUGCACACACUACCGCUUGGCAUGUCUGAUUUGUCUAGUUUAUUGAAGACUCGAGAAGGAGCAUUUGAUGGAUGGUUGUAAUCCAUCAAUCAUGAUUUUUGGAGUUUUUCUGAUAAACAUACUAGUUGGUCUAUGUACUGAAAUUUCUUUGUCUUUCAUUAGUUUGAGAGAUCAUCACUAGCUAUCUGGCAUAUCCGAAAGAAGAGUUAUGGGUUGGAUAGCAUGUAGGGAGCAGAAUGAAUAGUAUGGUGCUUGGGUGGUGUAAAGUUUCAGGUGCAAGAAGGUUUUCUUGAGAUGAGGUGACAUCAAAGGGAAGGUGAAGGGUGGAGGAAAUUGGGGGAAAAUGGAAUCAUCUCAUAUGGCUGUUAAUAGUUCAUUGGAGAUGGAGGCAUGGAUAACAUGGAGAUCAGGAAAAUUUAUUAGCAUAUAAGAGACUAUUAAUGGUGGUGCAACAGAGCUAUAUGGGAGUAUGAGCUGCAGGGAAUGGUGUGUCAAAUGGAUUGAAUUGAAGGAUAUAUCCUGGAUAAAGUAUCUUUUUGUGGUAGUGUUUGGGUUCAUAGGUGAGGUUACCAGCCUAAAAUCGAUUUCUAAUUAAAGCGGCUAGAAAGAUGGUUUUAAUCGAAAUUCUGCAGUUCAUUUGUAGAAUGUGGGGGGAAAAAAAUAGAAGUUUUAAGUGUUCUCAUUUGUAAUCUGGGGAUUUUUAAGAUUGGUUAAUCAUGUAGGCUAGAUUAAAGUACUAUGCAAAACCUGGGGUCUAAGUAGUAUAGUUAAGGGCAAAUGGCCAAAAUCUGACAUUCAAAGGGUUGACAAAUGAUUGGAAUUCAUGUAGGUUCACUUAGAGUUUGGGAGAGAAUGAAACAAGUGUUAAUUUAGGGUCAAAUUGUUGGAAAUUUUCUUAUAAAUAGAUUAUAGGGAGUCCAUUUGAUGACAGUUUGAACAACAUGCUUAUUGGUCAACCCUACAUGGGUAGGGUCGAGAGAAUGUUAAGGCAUAGAAUAGGUGUAUUGAUUUGGGCAAAGUGGUAAAGUUAUGUUGGAAGGUUAAUCCUAAAUGCGAGUUCAAUGGGCUAGCUAAGCUUAAGGGUUGGGCCAUGUAGGCUAAGAUCAAUGGUAGGUUCUAUGCCUGGAGCUAAAUAAGGUGAGUGGUGAAAAAUAUCAUCUGGUUUUGCUGCGAACUCUUUGUUUUCUCUUCUCAUCUUCACACGUGCAACAAAAUCAAGUUUAUCAAAUAGUGUGUCCACUUUUUUCCUUCUUAACUUUCAUCUCUUACUCUCCUCAAUUGCUCCUCUAUUUUUUGAUACCUUUGUGGAAGCUGCACUUGAUCCACAAAGUUAAAGCAGAGGGAGAAGCAGCAGCAGUAGUCUAACAAGCUGCAACAAUAGAACACCAGAUUUUCAGAUUUGUUCAAUACCAUUCAGGUCAGGCAAGGGUUCAGUUGUGCAAAGAAAAGAAGGCAUUGGUGAGAUGUCAAGAAAAGGGAAUUCUUGAUUCUUGCUAGAGACAAAAAUCUAUGAAUCCAAAUUUUUUAAAACAUAGAGCAGUGGCUGGUCAUCAACCUGUUUGUUCUUUAUGUUAUUUUUGAAUUUUCUCAAGCAAAGGAUCUGUUAGUUUAUAUUUAGAUGUCAAGAAAAUGAGAACAUAAGGAUGGGUGAUCAGUCCCUCCGAAGUAUCUGCAAUUUGUGAAGUUCUCUUGACCGUUUUCAAACAUACACAUCUGGUUGAUUA